Molecule: long non-coding RNA, 2562 nt
Organism: Bubalus bubalis (water buffalo)
Lineage: Eukaryota; Metazoa; Chordata; Mammalia; Artiodactyla; Bovidae
Exons: 3
Source: RefSeq, a predicted model, not a curated record
CUGUCUCCUCACUUUCUCCGUGUGUUUCUCCCUCCUGAUUUCUCGGGGUCUCUUCGUCUCUGUUUCUCUCCGUCUGUGUGUGUGUGUGUCUUUCUCUCAGUCGCUUCUUUUGUCUUUCUCCGUCUGUGUCUCUCCCACGCCUCUCCCAGGCCUCAGCUCCUCCAAUGGGCCAGUCCCAGCUGGCCCCGCACCCGCCACCCCCACUUCCCAGGAGCUUCCAGGCUGGGAAGCUCCCUCCGAUCAGAGGCCAGAGCCGGGAAGCGGGGGCUGGGCCUGGCUGCUGCGACCUUCGCUAGGACUGUGCCCUUUGCACCGGCCGCCUCAGGUUCUGCCGGCCUCGGCCUCCGGUGGGGUGAGGGCGGCCCAGAGAUGAUCAGGGGAUGGAUAAGAUGGGUCAGAGGGACGCCCCCGGGAGAGAGACCCCUUGGGGCAUCCAGGCUAGGUUGCAUCCUCCUGUCGCCUCUUAGGGAUCCCAGUGGCUCCAAAUAGAACCACUCUUCCCUGCUCCUUCCCUGGUGGGUCAGAUGGUAAAGCCAGAUGGUAAAGCGUCUGCCUACAAUGCUGGAGACCUGUGUUGGGAAGAUCCCUUGGAGAAGGCAAUGGUAACCCACUCCAGUUCUCUUGCCUGGAAAAUCCCAAGGAUGGAGGAGCCUGGUAGGCUGCAGUCCAUGGGGUCGCAAAGAGUCAACAGAACUGAGUGACUUCUCUUCUCUUUGCCUGCUCCAACAGAUCAGGCACUGGGGCAACGUAGCCAGGGAAGCCAGAGUUGGGGGGCGCGGAGAUGGUUGUUGGGUGGGGUGGGUGUGGUAAGAUUUGAGUGCUGGAGCCCCCAGCCUCCCCCACCAAGCCAUCGAGGAUGAGCCCUGAAGAUUCCCCCAAGUGUCAGGGCCAUGUGCUUGAUAAAUGACCCCCUUCUGUAAAGGGGAAGCCACACCCUAGGGUGGGAAUGUGGCUGCUUCUCACCUCCCAAGUGGCAAUCUCACCUCCCACGGGCCCUAUAUACAGUGGAGGGGGGCUUCCGGCCCUGGGUCCCCGGCCCAGCACCCCCAACUUGUGCCACUUCAUGCAUGAGAUCCCACAAGAUCACAGCUUUCUUCUGCUCCAGAUGGUCCCAUGGCUCCCUAUGUGGCUCAGAGUAAAAGUCCAAAUUCGAAAAAUACCAGGCCUUUAAGGCCCACAAGGCCUGGCACAGUCUCUCCCUCUUUUAUCUCCAUUCUUCCUAUUCCAGCCCCACUGUCUCCCCCCCUGUCCCACCCCCACACCACAUCCUCACACUCUUCAAGACCUUGGGACUUGGGGAUCAGCGUGACCGGAACACCCUGCCCCCAGCCCUUCCCAGGCAGUCACUUCCUCAGAGAGGCCUUCCCGUCUGUGUCCCCCUCCUCCCCAGUCUCACACUGCAGUUGGUACCGUCUGAAAUGACCUUCAUUAUUUACUGAUUCAUAUGGUACAUCAUAUGUCUCUGCCCUGGACUCCCAGCUCCAGGAAGGCAGGGGCCCUGUCUGUGCUUCUGCCCAGUCAUUGAGUAAAAAUUAAGAGUUUGGAGACUGGAGCCAGGCUCAGUUACUUUGUAAUCUAGGACUCCAGACAAGUGACACUCUCCUCGGAGCCUUGGUGGCCUCUUUUGUAAAAUGGAUAAUGACAGUUUCCACUCUGAGAAAUGCCAUUGAGGAGGAAGGGAUGGAACAGAGCUUCCAGACACAGGUUUCCCAUUCAAACGUCUGUCUGAACUGAAUAGAAACACUGUACUCAGGCUUGAGUGUAUACAGAUUUCCUAGCUCUGUCUGCCAUGUGUCCAGAAGCAAUGACACCCUAGAAGCAAUGCGUACACUCAGCAUCCAGAACUGGUUUCUGAAUGCCACUCUCCAGGAGGAGGAACCAGGGCUCCUUGGAGGAAUGACUGCUUCUAGGAUUAGGGCAGAGAAAAUCCACAAGGACACUGGAGCCUCUUCUAGAGCCAGAAGUGGAGAACUCAAAAAGGCAAAAGGACAGGAGCCAGCCUGAAAAGAACUCCUGCUGGCCAAAGCUGGGACAACUUGAACAAACUAGACAGCAUUAGAAUUGAAUUAUAAUCCGAAGAAUAAGUAACCACAAGUCCAAACUGAUUUAAAUACACGAGUGAGUCUAUUUUAAGAUGAGGGAGAAGGAACAACUCUUCCUGACAGAAAAAUUCCAGUUAAGUAUAAUGAGGGGCUUCCUUGGUCGGGUCCAGUGGUUAGAACAAAGAGCUUCCAUUGCAGAGGUCAUAGGUUCAAUCCUUAGUCGGGUAAGUAAGAUCCCCCAAGUGUGGGAUGCAGCAAAAAAAAAAAAAUCACUAUGCACUUUGGGUGAUAAUGAUGUGUUCAUGGGUCAUGUAGAUUCACCAGUGGUUCAAAAUACACUACUGUUGUGUGGGAUGUCCAUAGAGGGAGAGAUUUGGGGUGGGAGAUUCUGGGUGUAUACGGGAAAUCUCUGUACUUUCUGCUCAAUUUUGCUGUGAAACUAAAACUGCUAUAAAAAAAAAUAAAAUUUAUUAAUCAAAAAAAGGAGGGGGGAUAAAUUAGGAGUUUGACACUAAUAUAU